GAACGUUUGACCUCGGAUCAGGUAGGAAUACCCGCUGAACUUAAGCAUAUCAAAAGCCGGAGGAA
Molecule: ribosomal RNA, 65 nt
Filed under: Dactylonectria macrodidyma
Lineage: Eukaryota; Fungi; Ascomycota; Sordariomycetes; Hypocreales; Nectriaceae
Description: partial 28S ribosomal RNA
Source: RNAcentral